ACCAAGCGCAGCGGACGAAGUCGACGCCGGCGAGUGCCUUUUUGUGCGGGUGUUUUUCGCGCGGCUUGACGCCGCUGCCCGGAUUCCAAACUCUCGGAUACGUGCCCACGACACCGACGUGCUGUCAAGCCCGGCCGAAGCGGGAUACAGCGACCCAAACCGCUGCGGAAUAACGCCGUCCCGACAGCGCGCUGGUGCUCCUCCGAGGGAGACCGAACCAUCCCGUCGAGUGCAGUGACUCUGUGUCAAUGACCUUGGAGUGAGUUUUGGACACCGGUGCCGCUUCAACCAGCGUUCCUGGCGCAAGACGCUGAGCGGCUGGGUCCGGAGCCGGCAUGGACGAGCGCUGGGAGUCCGCAACAUCGACCAAGGCCACUCGGCUUUUCCCGGCGGUGCCUCAGCAGCAGCAGCUCCGAGACCCCAGUUCAGCGUUCUUCAGCCGCUGCUAGAGAUCGCCCAGCAACCACGCCUUGAAAAGUAAAGCGUGCCACGAUCGAAGAGAGUUGGCCGGCUGCCAAGCACCUGCACCGCCGCCACACAAAGCACCUGGAAGAAAAAAGCAACGCAAGAAAAACAUGCGGGAGAGAGGGCUCCGAGACGCUUCGAGAAGACUUGGUCAGCCGCGGAAGCUUCGAAGACAACAAGAAAACACUACAAAAGGAGGACCUGGGUGGCGAAGCUAGACCCGGCCUCGCGUACCUAGAGG
Long non-coding RNA from Ixodes scapularis (black-legged tick), 706 nucleotides. RefSeq lists it as uncharacterized. Lineage: Eukaryota; Metazoa; Arthropoda; Arachnida; Ixodida; Ixodidae. The transcript is spliced from 4 exons. The record is from RefSeq and is a predicted model, not a curated record.